UUUUUUUUUGAGGAAUGAUGAGGAAAAAUGUA
This 32-nucleotide small RNA is filed under the name Arabidopsis thaliana (thale cress). RNAcentral describes it as "ATSL229330". The record is from RNAcentral. Lineage: Eukaryota; Viridiplantae; Streptophyta; Magnoliopsida; Brassicales; Brassicaceae.